AAGUCGAACGAAGUAGCAAUACUUAGUGGCAGACGGGUGAGUAACAUGUAGGUAUCUGCCCUUUGGCCUGGAAUAACACGAGGAAACUUGUGCUAAUACCGGAUAAGUCUUUACGGAGAAAGCUUUAUGCACCAUUGGAUGAGCCUGCACUUGAUUAGUUUGUUGGUGGGGUAAUGGCCUACCAAGACUGUGAUCAAUAGCUGAUUUGAGAGGAUGAUCAGCCACAUUGGGACUGAGACACGGCCCAAACUCCUACGGGAGGCAGCAGUGGGGAAUCUUGCACAAUGGAGGAAACUCUGAUGCAGCGAUGCCGCGUGAGUGAAGAAGGCCCUUGGGUUGUAAAGCUCUUUCGUCGGGGAAGAAAAUGACUGUACCCGAAUAAGAAGGUCCGGCUAACUUCGUGCCAGCAGCCGCGGUAAUACGAAGGGACCUAGCGUAGUUCGGAAUUACUGGGCUUAAAGAGUUCGUAGGUGGUUGAAAAAGUUAGUGGUGAAAUCCCAGAGCUUAACUCUGGAACUGCCAUUAAAACUUUUCAGCUAGAGUAUGAUAGAGGAAAGCAGAAUUUCUAGUGUAGAGGUGAAAUUCGUAGAUAUUAGAAAGAAUACCAAUUGCGAAGGCAGCUUUCUGGAUCAUUACUGACACUGAGGAACGAAAGCAUGGGUAGCGAAGAGGAUUAGAUACCCUCGUAGUCCAUGCCGUAAACGAUGUGUGUUAGACGUUGGAAAUUUAUUUUCAGUGUCGCAGCGAAAGCGAUAAACACACCGCCUGGGGAGUACGACCGC
Molecule: ribosomal RNA, 782 nt
Filed under: uncultured marine bacterium
Lineage: Bacteria
Description: bacterial SSU rRNA
Rfam family: Bacterial small subunit ribosomal RNA
Source: RNAcentral